AUUCCAGCUCCAAUAGCGUAUAUUAAAGUUGUUGCAGUUAAAAAGCUCGUAGUUGGAUUUCUGGCCGAGUGUCCCCAGGCCAGCAUGACGUUUGGUCCUGGGCGCUCUGCCAUCCUUCUGUCAACCUUCGCCUCGUUCAUUCGUGGCGCUGGGGCUCAGAUAUUUUACCUUGAGAAAAUUAGAGUGUUUCAGGCAGGCUUUCGCCGGAAUACAUUAGCAUGGAAUAAUGGAAAAGGACUUCAACCUCUUCUGUUGGUCUGAGAGGCUGUAGUAAUGAUUAAUAGGGAUAGUUGGGGGCAUUAGUACUUAACUGUCAGAGGUGAAAUUCUCCGAUUUGUUAAAGACUAACUUAUGCGAAAGCAUUUGCCAAGGAUGUUUUCAUCA
This 384-nucleotide ribosomal RNA is filed under the name Leegaardiella sp. Its description in RNAcentral is "partial small subunit ribosomal RNA". It matches the Rfam family "Eukaryotic small subunit ribosomal RNA", at positions 582 to 975 of the family's 1831-position model. Lineage: Eukaryota; Ciliophora; Spirotrichea; Choreotrichida; Leegaardiellidae. The record is from RNAcentral.